GGGGUUUUUUGAUAUGCUGAAUCUAAAAAUGUACUUAGAUUUUUGAUUAUUGGCCCAGUUUUCAAGUUGGUCCAAAUCGGGUCCAAAUUAAAUUUUGUUUGAUUUCAUCAAAAAUUGAAUAAUUGGGGUUCUUUGAUAUGCCAAAUCUUACUGUGUAUGCAGAUUCUUAAUUUUUAGUCCCGUUUUCAAAUUGGUCUACAUUAAAGUCCAAAGGGUCCAAAAUUAAACUAAGUUUGAUUUUAACAAAAAUUGAAUUCUUGAGCUUUUUUGAUAUGCUGAAACUAAACAUGUACUUAGAUUUUUGAUUAUGGGCCCAGGUUUCAAGUUGGUUCAAAUCAGGAUCCAAAAUUAUUAUAUUAAGUAUUGUGCAAUAGCAAGAAAUUUUCAAUUGCACAGUAUUCAGCAAUAGCAAGAAAUCUUCAAUUGCACAGUAUUGUGCAAUAGCAAGAAAUUUUCAAUUGCACAGUAUUGCACAAUAGCAAGAAAUCUUAAUUGCACAGUAUUGUGCAAUAGCAAAUAUUUUCAAUUGCACAGUAUUGCGCAAUAGCAAGAAUUCAUUCUGUGUCAGAAACCUAUGCUGUGUCAACUAUUUAAUCACAAUCCAAAUUUAGAGCUGAAUCCAGCUUGAAUGUUGUGUCCAUACUUGCCCCAACCGUUCAGGGUUCAACCUCUGCGUCAUAUAAAGCUGCGCCCUACGGAGCAUCUGGUUUUAUAGUCUAUAGAACAAUAAUGUCAUCAGUGCCUUCCAUACUUAAUCAUAUCAAUCAUGUAAUUAUUGCAUUUGUUUAAUUAAUAUCCAUAUGCAUACUAAAUAUAAAGUGAAAUCCAACAUCCAUAUUAAUCCCAGGCUACAAAAUGAUUCAAAUAUUUCAGUUUAUACUAAUUAAAAACAGUAUUUUCAAAUAAUCAUACAUCUUUAAAUUGAAUAACAUAAGGUUUAUACACACGUUUUUUGUAACAAGCUGUUUAAGCUUUGCAAAACUAUCUUAGAUAUACUGAAGAUAUCUUGUAGUCUUUGAGUUUCUAACUCAUUAAAGAAUGUAGAAUGGAUAAAGAUUCAGGUAGAUUCUCUAAAAAGGAAAAGAUAAAAGGAUGAGACUCCUUGAAUCUUCUAGUCACUGGAAUUCCUGCUGUUUUUAUUUCGAUAAAUUAUAUACACAUUAUUUUAUUUAGGGUUGUUAAUUGAGUGUUACUUUAGGUUACUAAUUUAAAUCUUGAAGAUUUUUUUAUGAUUUUACAGUGCUCCUUUGGUUUAUUGCCUGCUCCAAACAGCCAAACUCCUAUAUCCCCACAAAAUUGCUCAGUCCUGUUUUUUCUUAUAUUAAAAUUCCAUUGUUUAAAAAAAAACAUAUUAACAUAUUGCCAAUAAUUGGAUGAUGUUAUAAACUAAUGGGACAUAAACAGUGAAGUUUUCCUCUCUUUCAAACCAAAUCACUUGGUGCUUUACAGUUGAUAACUUUUUACUGUUUUUAAAACAAUGAAUAUUAAUACUUGGGCAUCAAAAUGUCUACAUCAGAAAUAAAAAUCCAUUAUUAGUAAACAGAUUAAUGACAAUUGGUACGAUAACUGAUUAUGUUGCCGACAAAAUAACUUUUGGCAUAGUUCAGUCAAGUGCAUGCAUGGAUAAAACUUGUUUGCACAAAAGAAGUAUAUUUUUCUAAUUUUCGUUAGAAAAGUAUUUCAAGAUGUAUUGUCUGUUAGAAAAAAAGUGAGUGUAGUACAAAUCAUGCAGUUGUCUUAAUACAUGUACAAAUAUACAUUUAAUCCUUGCAGUUCAGUAGUGUUUGUUUUAUCAACUUACCACUCAUUCAUAGAUCUUUUUUUAUAUAAAAAUAAAUUCUAGAUAUAUACCACCACCCUUACAUAUUGGCAGUAUUCUAAGAAAUGUAAAUCAACACUAUAUGCUGUAAACAAUUUUCAGUGGCGGAUCCAGAAAUUUUCAUAAGUGGGGGCCCACUGACUGACCUAAGAGGGGGCCCACUCCAGUCACGCUUCAGUGAUUCCCUAUAUAAGCAACCAAAUUUUUUCCCAAAAAGGGGGGGCCCGGGCCCCCUGGGCCCCCCCUCUAAAUCCGCCUUUGAUUUUGGUUUGGAAAUAAUGCUAAACUUUAUAAAAUCAAGUACAAGACCAAAGAUUGUAUGCCUUUAUUAUUUAUGCAUACUUAUUAUGUGCUGAAUAAUUUUUUUUGAAUAAUUAUUAAUAUGUGUCUUUUUCUGUUUCAUUUAUUUGAAUUUCUACUGAUACAUAUCCAAAACACUAUGAAAGCCCAAUAAUUGUUUUAUUUGGUUUUUUUUCAUAAAUAUUAAUUUGUUACUGUUUUUUACCAAAGCAAGUCAGGAGCAUGUUGUUGGCGUUGUCAGUUUGUUUUAGAUUUAUGAGUUUGACUGUCCCUUUGGUAUCUUUCAUCCCUCUUUUAUUCAAUGAUCAUGUUUGUUGGUUUCUGUAUAUAUGUUAUUUCUUUAUGUUUUUAGCAUAAAUCAGGUUGUUGUUUUUCUUUUGAAUUAUUCAAACAAUUCACAGAUAUAACUUUAAUACAACAUUAGAAUUGACAACAGAUAGCACCUUUUCACUUAAAAUUUUUGACAUUCCAGAGUUAAUGUAUUUUGAUCCUUAGAUUCGAUUCAAGUUUUCAAAAAUUGUGCUGCACUAGCUCUAGUGGAACUGACUCCAACAAAACUUUACAUUGUUGUUGGUAUUAAUGAGGAAACUCACAUUGACUUUAGUAUUGUUAGGGUUGAUUUCCUCCAAAUUUUACAUUAUUUUGAUUGAUUUAUUGGAAGUUGUACAAAAAUGUUAGAAAAAGUAAACAUGAUUAAAUGAUUUUCAAUUAUCCCAUUUUAUUCUUGCAACAAAUUUCAAUAUGCACAAUAAGUGCCCCCUAACCCCCUCUUACAUUCUGUAUACGCCUGUCCCAAGUCUUGAGCCUGUAAUUCAGUGGUUGUUGUUUAUUGCUGUAUGUCCUAUUUGUUGUUUGUUUAUUGUUUUGUACAUAAGACAUAAUUACUACAAAUAGUAAUAUAAAGGCUGCUGCUAACCAAAACCAAAAUCUUAGUGGCUAUGAAGCUAUAGUUAGACUUUCUGAUUCAAAUCAAUUCAUGUUGUUUAAUGCAAGAUUUCAAAAACAUGCACUUUUUGUCAUUUUGAGUAACACAACAAUGUACAGCACUGAAUAAUAUUUUGAUUUAAUUGGUAUUGUAAACUUUUGCAAAGGUUAAUAAAGGUACCAGGAUUAAUAAAAUCUUUAAAGGAAGUAUUUUGACUAAGGUUCGUAAAAUAUUUUGAUAUCAGUUCCUGCACAAGUCUGAUUACAUUUGGCAUAUAUACCGUAUACAGUUCUUUUGCCUCAUGGUGAGAAUUCUUAGAUCUGUGCUUUAUGUCUUUUGUGUCUCUAUAAGUUAUUGUUGUGCUUUUUGUUGAUCGGAUGAGUUUAGUCCUUUUGAACUUAUUUUUAUAAUUUGUUCUUAUGUUGUCCUGUUACACCACUGUCCCAGGUUAAGGAUAGACUUGGCAACCUGCAACUGUGGUUAACAAUGUCGAGCAUUGUUGUUUGUUGCAGUAUAUUAUAUUUGUUUUUUGUUUGUUUAUUGUAUAUUGAGUAGUUUCCCUUUUAAAUAGUUUUAAUUUGUCAUCUCAGGCCUUUAAUGGCUUGCUGUGCAGACUGGCCAUUUGUUAAAGGCUUUACGGUUAAGUAUUAUUGCUGAACUUCCACAUCAUUUGGUCGUUGGUGCAGUGUUGACUCAUUGGCAAUAAUACCUCAUCUUAUUAUUACAUGUAGUAAAAUUUGAUGGUUUUGAUUUUUAUCAAUUUUCAGAUCAAUUAAAACUAUAGCAGAAUAUAUUUACAUAUUUAACCCAUUCUUUUAGUAAACAGACAAUAUUAAGUUUUGACUAAUACUAGCAUGCCUUUUGUAAAGUGUGAAUCUGUGGGCAAUAUCAUCCAUUUGGAAUUGCAUGUCUUAUGAUGAAUUGAAUGAAGAAGCUUUUCCUAUGAAUGCACAUAUCUGUUUUUAUAUGGAGUUCAUGGAAUUUGACUGUUUGUACUUCUAUGCCUGUAUAUUUGUACCUUUUCUUAUUUAUUUGAACUAAUCCCCAUUUAAAUGAUUACGAAAAGUAUGAAUUGCUUGCAACAAAACAAAAACCAAAGACAUGAGAAUCAAUACAUUGUAAUAACUCUUUUUAUAUGACCGCAAAAAUUGAAAAUUUUUUGUUCGUAUAUUGGUAUCACGUUGGCGUCGUCUGUGUCGUCGUCAUCGUUGUCCGAAUACUUUUAGUUUUCGCACUCUAACUUUAGUAAAAGUGAAUAGAAAUCUAUGAAAUUUUAACACAAGGUGUAUGACCACAAAAGGAAGGUUGGGAUUGAUUUUGGGAGUUG
Molecule: long non-coding RNA, 4371 nt
Filed under: Mytilus galloprovincialis (Mediterranean mussel)
Lineage: Eukaryota; Metazoa; Mollusca; Bivalvia; Mytilida; Mytilidae
Source: RNAcentral